This is a long non-coding RNA of Pyrus x bretschneideri (Chinese white pear), 2142 nucleotides long. RefSeq lists it as uncharacterized. The record is from RefSeq and is a predicted model, not a curated record. The transcript has 2 exons. Lineage: Eukaryota; Viridiplantae; Streptophyta; Magnoliopsida; Rosales; Rosaceae.
CUUUCAUCUUCUCCUCCCACCUCCCCACCACAAACCUUUAAAAAACAUCAAAUUCUUGAGGAUUUCCCUUAUUUGACCGUUCUGGGUUUCGCCGUUCCCGCACUGUGGAUUCACUCAGGUCACUUCUCUGGCUACGUGUUACGGACACCUGGACGUCCCGUUCUGCAUGAUAGAGAGAGAAAAAGAGAAAGGCAGGGAGGAGAUAAGGUCAUAAAUAAGAACAGUCAAUGAAGAGAGAGAGACAGACAGUAACACAGAGAGAGAGAGAGAGAGAGGGUAGUACAUAGCAGCAGUACAGCUUCUUUUGGUAUUGGGGUUUGUGGAGGUUGCUCCCAUUUUUUCUUCGUUUUGUCUUAUUUUUUGCCAUUGAGCGAAACCCUAAAUUUAUUUUACACCAAAAUAGUAUUACUCGUAGAUUUUUCUGACAUUUUGGUAUCUUUCCUUAUAUGGGUUUUAUUUUUCUUUCUUCCUGGGUUCUCAGAUCUGACCCGUUUCAAUCAGUCUUUUCAUUACUUUUUUGCUUUCAAGUUUUUCUUUCUUCACAAACUUUUUCUUCUUAUUAAUCAAAAGAAAUUGGCAAUUGGGUAGUUAUAUUAUUGUGGUGAGUGUUAAUUUGGUUGGGACUUAGGGUAGAAAUUGACAGAAGAGAGUGAGCACACAGAGGCACUUGCCAUAAAGCGUAUGCCAUUGCUUUUGCGUGCUCAUGUCUCUGUCUGUCAGCUUCCCCAUUUCCACUGCCGGAUUAAUAUCAAGUUCUUCAUUUUUUCCUUCUCAUCCCCAUCCUUCUUCUGGUCUCUCUUUAAUUUAUUUCACCAGUUCCCCUCUCUUCUCUCUCUCUCUCUCAAAAUCUUUUAUUUAUGGUGCUUAAUUAACUGCUCAAAAGGGAAUUCAGACUUCAAAGUAAACUGAAUCCCUAAGCCUAGCGUAGCUAAGAAAGCAUGCUCCUGUUACUCUCUUGAAAUCGGUAAGUGAUUAUAUGUAUAUUAUAUCAAUUAUUUUAUGUUAUCUUAUCAGAAACUGGUGAAAUGAGAGCGUGACUUUUGAUAUUGUUUUAUAUAUAAGAAUGUGGAUAUAUCUGUUUACUGUGCGAAAUUAGCGGCAAAAACCAGGUUAUCAAGCAUAGCAUUAGUACGGGACCAUCAUUCACGCUCUCUGGUAUUAGUAUGGUCCUCCCUUUCUCUCCCUUCCUUCCUCACUCGUCAUCUUGAAACCCUGAUGUAGUCCAAAAAUUGGUAAUUUUGAUUCCUUUUUAAAUUCAUACGCAUGCGAUUCUUACUUGGAAACUGGUUCUUUGUUUGGACCUUUUUUGUUAUUUGGUUUAAUUAAUGGAUUUCUGUAGAACCCUAUUUAGCAGCCUGAGUAGGGUUGAUUUGCUUGCUUUACUAUUGAUUACAAAAUUUUAUUUUAAACCAGCUAGUUAGUUAAUUUCACACCCAUUAUCUUUGAAAAUAUCAUCAGUGAAUGCAUAUAGUUCUUAUAAUUCUAUUGUGAUUUAAUAUGAUGAUCGAAGAUAAAACGACUAUGGUUUUGUUAUCUGGCUCUUGUUUGUUUGGUUGAUUUUGCAGGUAAGGUUUAUGGAUUGAUACAACGGUCCACCCAUUGUCAAGUUGAAAGUAUUUUCUUCCUUUUUUUGGGCUUGUGUAUGGAGCUAUAUCUUUCAAGUUUCAUCAGAUGAAAACUUAACAGGAUACUAUUGAUUCAUCGUCAUAGUAUAUAAUAUAUCACAUCUGCCUGUUGGACGUUGCUUUUGAGUUCAUCAUCCCCAGUAUGGCGUUAGUGUUGGAGCUCAGCUAUUCUCUUUCACUGCGGAUGGCCAUGGGGAGAUAUGUCUGCGAUAAUGGAGCCCCUCUUUUGUUUAUUUCAGCGGAGGAUCUGGAUUCGCUACACUUCGUGUAGGUUUGGAGAGCGUGGAGUUCAACCAGUAAGUGCUUUCCCAUAUUUUUGGAAGCCUUUGUAAAGACCGACACGAAUUGGCCUCUUCAUGCAGUUAAUUCUCUUACAAUUUUCAAUUAUUAUUUAGUGGUAGAUGCCUUUUUGUACAAGGCUUUAAUGGAAAAAUCAUUGUAUGUAUGUUCUUGUUUACUUUUGAACAAAAUUAAUUCUGGGAAUGGUUUUUUCAUACAAGUAUAUGGAAAUAUGGUA